GUGAAUCAUCGAAUUUUUGAACGCAAAUUGCACUCUCUGGCAUUCCGGAGAGUAUGCCUGUUUGAGGGUCAGUUUAAAUAAAAAUCGAGGUGUUGCUUUUUUGUGACCCAUCGGAAUUGGGUUAUCUUUGAUCUUUUAAAAGGUUUAAGUGAUCUAAAAUUGAUACCUUGUGCAUCUCAGACGUAUAUAAGAAUAUUUUUCUAUUUGUUCGGAGUUGCCAACUUUUAUUAGGCAUGACAAUGUUGUUUGUGGUAUUGUACCUAUAAUAUACUCACAUUUUGAACUAUAAUCAGGUAGGAGG
This 301-nucleotide unclassified non-coding RNA is filed under the name Glomeraceae sp. RNAcentral describes it as "partial contains 5.8S ribosomal RNA and internal transcribed spacer 2". The stretch from base 1 to 71 matches the Rfam family "5.8S ribosomal RNA", at positions 84 to 154 of the family's 154-position model. Lineage: Eukaryota; Fungi; Glomeromycota; Glomeromycetes; Glomerales; Glomeraceae. The record is from RNAcentral.